Molecule: ribosomal RNA, 700 nt
Filed under: uncultured bacterium
Lineage: Bacteria
Description: bacterial SSU rRNA
Rfam family: Bacterial small subunit ribosomal RNA
Source: RNAcentral
AGAGUUUGAUCAUGGCUCAGAUUGAACGCCGGCGGAAUGCUUUACACAUGCAAGUCGAACGGCAGCACGGGAGCUUGCUCCUGGUGGCGAGUGGCGAACGGGUGAGUAACAUAUCGGAACGUACCUAGUAAUGGGGGAUAACUAGUCGAAAGAUUAGCUAAUACCGCAUACGCCCUGAGGGGGAAAGCGGGGGAUCGUAAGACCUCGCGUUAUUAGAGCGGCCGAUAUCUGAUUAGCUAGUUGGUGGGGUAAAGGCCCACCAAGGCGACGAUCAGUAGCUGGUCUGAGAGGACGACCAGCCACACUGGAACUGAGACACGGUCCAGACUCCUACGGGAGGCAGCAGUGGGGAAUUUUGGACAAUGGGCGCAAGCCUGAUCCAGCCAUUCCGCGUGAGUGAAGAAGGCCUUCGGGUUGUAAAGCUCUUUCGCAAGGGAAGAAACGAUAUAGACGAAUAAUCUAUGUUAAUGACGGUACCUUGAUAAGAAGCACCGGCUAACUACGUGCCAGCAGCCGCGGUAAUACGUAGGGUGCGAGCGUUAAUCGGAAUUACUGGGCGUAAAGCGUGCGCAGGCGGUUUUGUAAGUCAGAUGUGAAAUCCCCGGGCUCAACCUGGGAACUGCGUUUGAAACUACAAGGCUAGAGUAUAGGAGAGGGGGGUAGAAUUCCACGUGUAGCAGUGAAAUGCGUAGAGAUGUGG